This 1353-nucleotide long non-coding RNA is filed under the name Gossypium raimondii (Peruvian cotton). RNAcentral describes it as "long non-coding RNA (GRAI_LNC002767)". The record is from RNAcentral. Lineage: Eukaryota; Viridiplantae; Streptophyta; Magnoliopsida; Malvales; Malvaceae.
GAGCUAGAUAAGUCUUACGGGUCUCGUACGAAAUUUGAGAGAAAAUGCCUCACAAAUUUGGUAGCAAUUCGAUAAUUAAAAUGUCAAAAGUCCUUUACAAAAUGAAUUUAACAACUAUUUAUAGACAAUGUCUAAGCUAGCCGAAUAGUCACAUGAAUGCUUAAGAAUUAAGCAAAUGAAUUCCUUAAAUGUCAAUGGAUAGGUUCGGCUGAAUGGGGAGCUCCAUUAGUCAACUUCUAGAUGGAUAAUUGAACUUAGAACUUGAGUGAAUACAAUGCAGCAGCUACAUUCGGUUGAUGUGCUUAAAGGAGCUCAUUUAAUUGGCAACCAUUGCUGAAAAAUUACCAGCAAUUAAGGAGAUGUUGAGUAGUCACUUUAAGUGUGAAAACCAGGUUUUGAAGAGUCCUUGAAUAUGAACACCUUGAACCGAACAGCCAUGUUGUUUCUAGCAAUGUGUAAGCAAUAAAUUCGGCUGAAUGGUCACUUAGGAAACUUCAAACAGCAGCCAACUUCAUUUUCCCAUUCAUGCAUGUACCGUCCCCUUCAUGUACCUUCUUUUAAUACCUUUCAUGCACCAAGGACGUUCAUGGGUAAUGUACCUACAGCAACAUUCAUCAAAUAAAUCAAAUACAUGUUUAGACACAUUAAAUUAACACUAAAAUGCUGCACAUUAAAUUCGGCAACCUUAGGACAUAAUUAAAACAAGUAAUAAAGUUGACACAUUAAAAGCAUGCAUAAAAAACAUAUUUAUAAGCUGUAUAAAUUAAGACAAAAUUAAUAACAUGUAAUAAUAACUCAUUUAACAUGCAUAAUUAAAUUUGUCCAGAUUUAAGACCAAUUAAAUAACGAAAAUUAAUUAAGCUGUAAAUAACUAAUUUAACUAACUCAAAUAAUUAUUUCAGCUACUAUAUUAUUGACUAAGUUAUAUUGAGCUAAUUUUGAGCUGGUUCGAAUUCAAUGAGCUGAAAUGGAGCUUAAUUCAGCUUGCAGCAAGUUGCACGGAGAGCUCUUAGAAUUGGCCCAAGCUUCUUCAAUACGUCCAACUAAAGUCUCGCCCCAAACUUUAUCUACUAAGGCCGAAACAGCCUCCUUGAAUUGUUUGGCUCGUGAUCGGGUGAUAGGACCUUGAGGCAGCUCCAAAGGCUCCUUGAUCGAGCUAGGUAAGACUUGAGGUGUGGCCGUAUCAGGAACAGCGAAAAGUGGAAAUUGAGAUAGGGAAAUAAUUCAACCAAUGUUCACAAAAAAGAUCGAAGCUCUUCUGGAUAACAGCGUCAGCUGAUUGUUCUCGACUGCAGUGGCAAUGGCUCGAUCAAGCUCAACUGUUUCCAAUAUGAAAUCCUGGCUGCAUUUUUU